This 471-nucleotide ribosomal RNA is filed under the name uncultured bacterium. Its description in RNAcentral is "bacterial SSU rRNA". It matches the Rfam family "Bacterial small subunit ribosomal RNA", at positions 28 to 507 of the family's 1533-position model. The record is from RNAcentral.
GAUGAACGCUGGCGGCGUGCUUAACACAUGCAAGUCGAACGAAGAUGCCGGAGUGCUUGCACUUUGGCAGACUGAGUGGCGGACGGGUGAGUAACGCGUGGGUAACCUGCCUUAUACAGGGGGAUAACAGUUGGAAACGACUGCUAAUACCGCAUAAGCGCACGGUAUCGCAUGAUACAGUGUGAAAAACUCCGGUGGUAUAAGAUGGACCCGCGUCUGAUUAGCUUGUUGGCGGGGUAAUGGCCCACCAAGGCGACGAUCAGUAGCCGGACUGAGAGGUUGGCCGGCCACAUUGGGACUGAGACACGGCCCAGACUCCUACGGGAGGCAGCAGUGGGGAAUAUUGGGCAAUGGGCGCAAGCCUGACCCAGCAACGCCGCGUGAAGGAAGAAGGCUUUCGGGUUGUAAACUUCUUUUCUCAGGGACGAACAAAUGACGGUACCUGAGGAAUAAGCCACGGCUAACUACGUG